AGUGAGGGGAGUCUGUGGUGGGCGGACUUUCCCACCACCCUCACUGCGGCCUCCACGUCACCGUCAGGAGACUGAAACUCUCCACCCAGGAGCUUCCAAAUUGAGAACUGCUCAUCAGGACCACCCUCGCC
Long non-coding RNA from Lutra lutra (Eurasian river otter), 131 nucleotides. RefSeq lists it as uncharacterized. NCBI's taxonomy places the organism in Eukaryota, Metazoa, Chordata, Mammalia, Carnivora, Mustelidae. The record is from RefSeq and is a predicted model, not a curated record. The transcript has 3 exons.